GUGUUCAAUUCUGUAGCAUAUAUACUAAAACUGGAACAAUACAGAGAAGAUCAGCAUGGCUCCUGCACUAGGAUGACACUCAAAUUCGUGAAGCAGUCCAUGCUUUU
Small nuclear RNA from Colobus angolensis palliatus, 107 nucleotides. NCBI's taxonomy places the organism in Eukaryota, Metazoa, Chordata, Mammalia, Primates, Cercopithecidae. The record is from Ensembl.